GCAGCCUCCACUAUCAAGAGAGAGAUUUUCAGAGUUUGGAAGUGGCUCCUACCCUCUGUUACCUUGAUGAAAUAUAAACAUGAUUAUAAGAAGAUUUCACAUUGAAUCCGAAACUUCCAACCUCUUGUCUGUGGUCCAGACAAGGAGCAUAUCUGUCUGGAUAUUCCUCUUCUUGAAGAGUACCAAGAGCAGCCAAGAGAUCAAGUCUCAGACUGCGAUGUUUAAUCCAUGGGAUUUGGCAGAAAAUAGAGACCAAGACACACAGUUAAAAUCCGUUGAGUGAAGAAAGCAAUCAGGAAGUGGUCUUAGAGAAACAUGGGGCUUGUGCUGACAUUUACAACGAGCAGAUGAAGUGUGUCUCCAGCUCAGAGGGUCAGCCUAUUCAGUCACCCUCUACAACAAAGUGGAAAUUAUCUAGAAGAAGAUGAAAGAAGAUCCCAUGUAGCGAGAAA
Molecule: long non-coding RNA, 452 nt
Organism: Pongo pygmaeus (Bornean orangutan)
Lineage: Eukaryota; Metazoa; Chordata; Mammalia; Primates; Hominidae
Exons: 3
Source: RefSeq, a predicted model, not a curated record